GACGAACGCUGGCGGCGUGCUUAACACAUGCAAGUCGAACGGAGAGGCCCUGCUUUUGUGGGGUGCUCGAGUGGCGAACGGGUGAGUAACACGUGAGUAACCUGCCCUUGACUUUGGGAUAACUUCAGGUAACUGGGUCUAAUACCGUAUAGGAGCUCCUGCUGCAUGGUGGGGGUUGGAAAGUUUCGGCGGUUGGGGAUGGACUCGCGGCUUAUCAGCUUGUUGGUGGGGUAGUGGCUUACCAAGGCUUUGACGGGUAGCCGGCCUGAGAGGGUGACCGGCCACAUUGGGACUGAGAGACGGACCAGAAUCCUACGGGAGGCAGCAGUGGGGAAUAUUGCACAAUGGGAGGAAGCCUGAUGCAGAAAAGCCGCGUGCGGGAUGACGGCCUUCGGGUUGUAAACCGAUUUCGAAUGUGAAGAAGAGUGAGUGACGGUAAUGGGUAAAGAAGCACCGGCUAACUACGUG
Molecule: ribosomal RNA, 468 nt
Filed under: uncultured bacterium
Lineage: Bacteria
Description: partial 16S ribosomal RNA
Rfam family: Bacterial small subunit ribosomal RNA
Source: RNAcentral